GGGCCCAUAGCUCAGCUUGGUAGAGCGGCAGGCUCAUAACCUGUCGGCCAAGGGUUCAAGUCCCUUUGGGCCCACCA
RNAcentral lists this transfer RNA (77 nucleotides) under Candidatus Thorarchaeota archaeon. Its description in RNAcentral is "tRNA-Met". It matches the Rfam family "tRNA". From Rfam's summary of the family: Transfer RNA (tRNA) molecules are approximately 80 nucleotides in length. Lineage: Archaea; Promethearchaeati; Candidatus Thorarchaeota. The record is from RNAcentral.